This 205-nucleotide ribosomal RNA is filed under the name uncultured bacterium. RNAcentral's name for it is "partial 16S ribosomal RNA". It matches the Rfam family "Bacterial small subunit ribosomal RNA", at positions 570 to 774 of the family's 1533-position model. The record is from RNAcentral.
CGCAGGCGGUCUUGUCCGUCAGGUGUGAAAGCUCGGGGCUCAACCCCGGAAGUGCACUUGAAACAGCAAGACUUGAAUACGGGAGAGGAAAGCGGAAUUCCUGGUGUAGAGGUGAAAUUCGUAGAUAUCAGGAGGAACACCGAUGGCGAAGGCAGCUUUCUGGACCGAUAUUGACGCUGAGGCGCGAAGGCGUGGGUAGCGAACG